ACGCUGGCGGCGUGCUUAACACAUGCAAGUCGAACGAUGAACCUCCUUCGGGAGGGGAUUAGUGGCGAACGGGUGAGUAACACGUGGGCAAUCUGCCCUGCACUCUGGGACAAGCCCUGGAAACGGGGUCUAAUACCGGAUAUGACUCGGGAGGGCAUCCUUCCGGGUGGAAAGCUCCGGCGGUGCAGGAUGAGCCCGCGGCCUAUCAGCUUGUUGGUGGGGUGAUGGCCUACCAAGGCGACGACGGGUAGCCGGCCUGAGAGGGCGACCGGCCACACUGGGACUGAGACACGGCCCAGACUCCUACGGGAGGCAGCAGUGGGGAAUAUUGCACAAUGGGCGAAAGCCUGAUGCAGCGACGCCGCGUGAGGGAUGACGGCCUUCGGGUUGUAAACCUCUUUCAGCAGGGAAGAAGCGCAAGUGACGGUACCUGCAGAAGAAGCGCCGGCUAACUACGUGCCAGCAGCCGCGGUAAUACGUAGGGCGCAAGCGUUGUCCGGAAUUAUUGGGCGUAAAGAGCUCGUAGGCGGCUUGUCGCGUCGGAUGUGAAAGCUCGGGGCUUAACCCCGGGUCUGCAUUCGAUACGGGCAGGCUAGAGUGUGGUA
This 605-nucleotide ribosomal RNA is filed under the name Streptomyces sp. RNAcentral's name for it is "bacterial SSU rRNA". It matches the Rfam family "Bacterial small subunit ribosomal RNA", at positions 33 to 653 of the family's 1533-position model. The record is from RNAcentral. Lineage: Bacteria; Bacillati; Actinomycetota; Actinomycetes; Kitasatosporales; Streptomycetaceae.